Daphnia magna is the source of this 373-nucleotide long non-coding RNA. RefSeq lists it as uncharacterized. The record is from RefSeq and is a predicted model, not a curated record. The transcript has 2 exons. NCBI's taxonomy places the organism in Eukaryota, Metazoa, Arthropoda, Branchiopoda, Diplostraca, Daphniidae.
UUUGCUAGGUCUAGUCUAGGUUUACUAAUCUUCAUUAGACUAUCUGGUAAAAAAAACCUUAUUUCAAGUUUGAACGAAAGUGAUGUUUAAGUUAGCGGAUGUGACCUAGGUGAUCGAGUUGCUAAAACUCAGAAUAACAGUUUUGGAAGUGCAUUCACCGGAUUUAUUGAAUCUAGGAAAGGAACAGAUAAAUGUCUAAAGAAUUCAUCGCACGAAAACAACGAUAGUGGUGCAGGAUACGACGGGGCGGAAACCAGUUAUCCGCCACUCGGAAGUCCACAACACAAUCUAAGAGCAUAAUACCAACCAAGUUGCGAGAAGAAAUCCCUCCAGGAAAUCUCUGGUUUUUAAUCUGUCAAAAACUUGCAACAAA